This 263-nucleotide long non-coding RNA is filed under the name Homo sapiens (human). RNAcentral's name for it is "HSALNT0160749". The record is from RNAcentral. Lineage: Eukaryota; Metazoa; Chordata; Mammalia; Primates; Hominidae.
AAUAUAAGGGCCCCUUCUACGUGCUCAAGAUUAAAAAAAAAAAAAAGGAAAAAGUAGCUCUCACAUGCUUUUGGCAAGUUUUUGAACCAGCUGAUGUAUGGGCCAGGUGAUGUAUGGACCCCUGAUAUAUGGAGCAGCUGAUGUAUGGACCCCUGGUAUAUAGACCACUGAUGUGUGAACCUCCUGAUGAGUGACCCACCAAUAUAUGGACCAGUUGAUGUAUGGACCCACUGAUGUAUGGACCAGCUGAUGUAUGCACCCAC